UUUCCGUAGGUGAAUCUGCGGAAGGAUCAUUAUUGUAUAACCGAGGUGCGAGGGCUGUCGCUGACCCGAAAGGUCGUGCACGCCCGAGUGCUCUCACACACAUCCAUCUCACCCCUAUGUGCACCACCGCGUGGGUCCCCCUUUGGCUUGUUCGGAGGGGGGCUUACGUUUUCACACAAACUUUGUAUGCAGUGUAGAAUGUAUUUUUUGUUUUUGCGAUCACGCAAUCAAUACAACUUUCAACAACGGAUCUCUUGGCUCUC
This 263-nucleotide unclassified non-coding RNA is filed under the name plant metagenome. RNAcentral's name for it is "partial contains small subunit ribosomal RNA, internal transcribed spacer 1, and 5.8S ribosomal RNA". The record is from RNAcentral.